UCCGAGACUAGAGUCACAUCCUGACACGUAUAAUUGCCUCGGUGUGCUAGAGUUCUCGCAGAUGAAAUGCUGAUCUUUAUUCACUGGCUGAUUAUUAUGUGAUUCAGUCAGCCGCCUGAUCAGGGACAUUU
Small nucleolar RNA from Bombina bombina (fire-bellied toad), 131 nucleotides. RefSeq annotates it as small nucleolar RNA SNORA3/SNORA45 family. NCBI's taxonomy places the organism in Eukaryota, Metazoa, Chordata, Amphibia, Anura, Bombinatoridae. The record is from RefSeq and is a predicted model, not a curated record. The transcript has a single exon.